AGAAACUUAGUUUAGUAAUAAAUAUAAGGUUGUCAACUUUAAGAGGCCAAUGGCAGUUUCUU
This 62-nucleotide transfer RNA is filed under the name Artemia parthenogenetic lineage. Its description in RNAcentral is "tRNA-Asp". RNAcentral also lists the same sequence under 2 other names. The record is from RNAcentral. Lineage: Eukaryota; Metazoa; Arthropoda; Branchiopoda; Anostraca; Artemiidae.